Molecule: transfer RNA, 84 nt
Filed under: Chitinispirillales bacterium
Lineage: Bacteria; Pseudomonadati; Fibrobacterota; Chitinispirillia; Chitinispirillales
Description: tRNA-Leu
Rfam family: tRNA
About the family: Transfer RNA (tRNA) molecules are approximately 80 nucleotides in length. Their secondary structure includes four short double-helical elements and three loops (D, anti-codon, and T loops).
Source: RNAcentral
GCGGUCGUGGUGAAAUUGGUAGACACGCUACUUUGAGGGGGUAGUGGGCGUAUGCCUGUGCCGGUUCGAGUCCGGCCGACCGUA